UCUUGAGAGAAAAUGGAGAGGGUGAUUGGGAACAAAAGUACAAAGAAGAACGAAUUCAUUAGGAAUGUAGAAAAAUGCAAUUUCUGUCUACUCUUGCAUGGGUGUCACAGCAUGUACAUCUGCUUUUAUAUUGGAAAAGUAGAACACCUUUUACAACAAUUUUAGAAGCUUUGAGAGACUAAAUCCUUAUUUGAUUAUGCCAGGCCUAUUUGCAUGUGUUUUGGAUCUAGUCUUACUGAUUUUCUUCGGCAUAUCUGGCAUUAAAGCAUACAUCUUCACAGCAAAUAGUUCCUUGGGAAAUCCCCUCUGAUCCUGUUUUCAAAACACAACAUGAGCAAGUAAACAUAAUAAUUCAGAAAUAUCCUAUUGAUGUGCGCUCCUGCAGCGCAAGUAGCAGGUAAUUCCAACAUUUUUCUGUUGCACUGCCAGUAUUUCUGUUUUUCUUUACCUGGAAGACAGAGACUCCUAAUUACACGUGAUUUCUCACUAUGCCACCCCCACCCGAACCCUCUUUCAUCCUUCUGGUUUUCCUCACUCCGCUUCUUUUAUUGUUUUUGCUUUAUAAUUAAAUCUCUAAGAAAAGGAUAUUGCUAGACUGAAAAAGUAUAGUCAUUGUGACACAAACCGUAAGUUUCCACCCUAAAAUCAAAUUACUGCAAUAUCGCAAUUUACUUUUGUGUGUUAACUUUCAAAUAGAAAAGACAAUGCAGCUGGAAGGAGCAUAUUUUUCAUUUUUGAGCUAAAAGUUAACUAUUAAUGGUUGCUAAAGUACAAUUUAACUCCUUCUAGGUGGCACAAAUAACAAAAAAAAUAUUUGCUUAGACUUUACCAUUUAAAUUUCUUUAGAAAUAAUGCAUAGAUAUUAUAGAGGCACAUAUUCGAAAGUGCAAGAUAAUAUGUCCUAAACCUUAAAUUUCCAUAUAUCAUAUUGUGCCCAUCAAAUUGUUACGACUUAUGAUUUCAAGGGAACAACGUGAAGAAACAAUACUGAUAAAGCAGGAAUCAAAAGAUCCGACUUUGGCAAACAAGUGCUCAAAUUCAACGAGAAUGCAUAGAUACCUUGGCUCUUUUGUGAAGGAGGUGAGCACAAAGGUGAAAUAUGAGAGCAAAAUCUAUGACGGCAAGGGCUUUUGGCUUGCCGCAUUUUCAUGACACAUGGCUGUGAAUGGAAUUUUGGCUUGAAUUUAAUCUAUUUGAGCAUACUUUUCUGUUGGUUUCAAAAUUGAAAUGCAUGAGGGAAACUGUGUUUUAUUAUUAUUAUUA
RNAcentral lists this unclassified non-coding RNA (1263 nucleotides) under Hevea brasiliensis (rubber tree). Lineage: Eukaryota; Viridiplantae; Streptophyta; Magnoliopsida; Malpighiales; Euphorbiaceae. The record is from RNAcentral.